RNAcentral lists this long non-coding RNA (267 nucleotides) under Homo sapiens (human). Its description in RNAcentral is "non-protein coding lnc-EIF2AK3-4:50". Lineage: Eukaryota; Metazoa; Chordata; Mammalia; Primates; Hominidae. The record is from RNAcentral.
CCCUUGGACAGCCGGCCUCCAUCUCCUGCAGGUCUAGUCAAAGCCUCGUAUACAGUGAUGGAAACACCUACUUGAAUUGGUUUCAGCAGAGGCCAGGCCAAUCUCCAAGGCGCCUAAUUUAUAAGGUUUCUAACCGGGACUCUGGGGUCCCAGACAGAUUCAGCGGCAGUGGGUCAGGCACUGAUUUCACACUGAAAAUCAGCAGGGUGGAGGCUGAGGAUGUUGGGGUUUAUUACUGCAUGCAAGGUACACACUGGCCUCCCACAG